GAUGAACGCUGGCGGCGUGCCUAAUACAUGCAAGUCGAGCGAACAGACGAGGAGCUUGCUCCUCUGACGUUAGCGGCGGACGGGUGAGUAACACGUGGAUAACCUACCUAUAAGACUGGGAUAACUUCGGGAAACCGGAGCUAAUACCGGAUAAUAUAUUGAACCGCAUGGUUCAAUAGUGAAAGACGGUUUUGCUGUCACUUAUAGAUGGAUCCGCGCCGCAUUAGCUAGUUGGUAAGGUAACGGCUUACCAAGGCAACGAUGCGUAGCCGACCUGAGAGGGGGAUCCGCCACACUGGAACUGAGACACGGUCCAGACUCCUACGGGAGGCAGCAGUAGGGAAUCUUCCGCAAUGGGCGAAAGCCUGACGGAGCAACGCCGCGUGAGUGAUGAAGGUCUUCGGAUCGUAAAACUCUGUUAUUAGGGAAGAACAAAUGUGUAAGUAACUAUGCACGUCUUGACGGUACCUAAUCAGAAAGCCACGGCUAACUACGUG
This 497-nucleotide ribosomal RNA is filed under the name uncultured bacterium. RNAcentral's name for it is "partial 16S ribosomal RNA". It matches the Rfam family "Bacterial small subunit ribosomal RNA", at positions 28 to 507 of the family's 1533-position model. The record is from RNAcentral.